This 489-nucleotide ribosomal RNA is filed under the name uncultured bacterium. Its description in RNAcentral is "partial 16S ribosomal RNA". It matches the Rfam family "Bacterial small subunit ribosomal RNA", at positions 30 to 507 of the family's 1533-position model. The record is from RNAcentral.
UUGAACGCUGGCGGCAGGCCUAACACAUGCAAGUCGAACGGUAACAGGAAGAAGCUUGCUUCUUUGCUGACGAGUGGCGGACGGGUGAGUAAUGUCUGGGAAACUGCCUGAUGGAGGGGGAUAACUACUGGAAACGGUAGCUAAUACCGCAUAACGUCGCAAGACCAAAGAGGGGGACCUUCGGGCCUCUUGCCAUCGGAUGUGCCCAGAUGGGAUUAGCUAGUAGGUGGGGUAACGGCUCACCUAGGCGACGAUCCCUAGCUGGUCUGAGAGGAUGACCAGCCACACUGGAACUGAGACACGGUCCAGACUCCUACGGGAGGCAGCAGUGGGGAAUAUUGCACAAUGGGCGCAAGCCUGAUGCAGCCAUGCCGCGUGUAUGAAGAAGGCCUUCGGGUUGUAAAGUACUUUCAGCGGGGGGGAAGGGAGUAAAGUUAAUACCUUUGCUCAUUGACGUUACCCGCAGAAGAAGCACCGGCUAACUCCGUG